This 81-nucleotide transfer RNA is filed under the name bacterium. RNAcentral describes it as "tRNA-Leu". It matches the Rfam family "tRNA". From Rfam's summary of the family: Transfer RNA (tRNA) molecules are approximately 80 nucleotides in length. Their secondary structure includes four short double-helical elements and three loops (D, anti-codon, and T loops). The record is from RNAcentral.
GCCCGGGUGCUGGAAUGGUAUACAGACACGGCUUAAAACCGUGCGAGCUUGCUCAUGAGGGUUCGACUCCCUCCCCGGGCA